GACGCUACAAGCUUGGCACACAUGUAUUUGAGGAGUCUCUUCCAUUAUUCUCUGCAGAUCCUCUCAAGCUCUCUCAGGUUGGAUGGGGAGCGUGGCUGCACAGCUAUUUUCAGGUCUCUCCAGAGCUGUUAGAUCGGGUAUAAGUCUGGGCUCUGGUUGGGACACUCAAGAACAUUCAGAGACUUGUCUCAAAGCCACUCCUGCAUUGUCUUGGCUGUGUGCUUAGGGUCGUUGUCCUGUUGGAAGGUGAACCUUCGCCCCAGUCUGAGGUCCUGAGCGCUCUGGAGCAGGUUUUCAUCAAGGAUCUCUCUGUACUUUGCUCUGUUCAUCUUUGCCUCGAUCCUAACUAGUCUCCCAGUCCCUGCCGCUGAAAAACAUCCCCACAGCAUGCUGCUGCCACCACGCUUCACCGUAGGGAUGGUAACAGGUUUCCUCCAGACGUGAUGCUUGGCAUUCAGGCUAAAGAGUUCAAUCUUGGUUUCAUCAGACCAGAGAAUCUUGUUUCUCAUGGUCUGAGUGUAAGAACCGACACUGGAGUAGAGAAGCAGGUACGGUUAGUCAAACAUUUAAUCGGAACAGACAUGGAACAAGACAGGAACAGCGUCAGCACACGGGUAUACAAGGACAUAUGACAAUCAAUGCUGAAGCGGGGGAACAGCCAGAUAUAGGGGAGGUAAUGACAGAGGUGAUUGAGUCCAGGUGAGUCCAAUAAUCGCUGAUGCGCGUGACGGGGGAAGGCAGGUGUGCAUAAUGAUUGUGGCAUGAGUGCGUAAUGCUGGGAAGCAUGGCGCCCUCGUGUGCCAGGGGGGAAGAGCGGGAGCAUGCCUGACAUUGAGAGUCUUUAGGUGCCUUUUGGCAAACUCCAAGCGGGCUGUCAUGUGCCUUUUACUGAGGAGAGGCUUCCGUCUGGCCAGUUUAACAUAAAAGCCUGUUUGGUGGAGUGCUGCAGAGAUGGUUGUCCUUCUGGAAGUGUCUCCCAUUUCCACAGAGGAACUCUAGAGCUCUGUCAGAGUGGCCAUCGGGUUCUUGGACACCUCCCUGAGCAAGGGCCUUCUCCCCUGAUUGCUCAGUUUGGCCAGGGGGCCAGAUCUAAGAAGAGUCUUGGUGGUUCCAAACUUCUUCCAUUUAAGAAUGAUGGAGGCCACUGUGUUCUCGGGGACCUUCAAUGCUGCAGAAAUAUUUUGGUACCCUUCCCCAUAUCUGUGCCUCGACACAAUCCUGUCUCGGAGCUCUACGGAUAAUUCCUUCGACCUCAUGGCUUGGUUUUUGUACAGACAUGCACUGUCAACUGUGGGACCUUAUAUAGACAGGUGUGUGCCUUUCCAAAUCAUGUCCAAACAAUUGAAUUUACCACAAGUGGACUCCAAUCAAGUUGUAGAAACAUCUCCAAGGAUGAUCAAUGGAAACAGGAUGGAUCUGAGCUGCAUUUCGAGGCUCAUAAAGGGUCUGAAUACUUAUUUAUAUAAGGUUGUACUGUCAUGGGCCCUCACAGAAACUCACUGGCUUCGAUGACAGGCAUGGAGCUGCCUUGCCCCUCAAAGACUGGCUUGAUGAUCUCUGAGUCACACACCGCGUAGACCUUCUGGCUCUCAACACACAACAGGCAUUGUCCAGAUGGUGGGGGGGGGAUGGUGGGGCAGGGAGGCAGGGGAGCCAUUUCACCUCGUGACCACAGAGUCAAAUGAUCCGUCCAAUGGUCAUAAACAGACUCAAUAUUUUGGCAUUGAGUAUCGUUACAGAGGUAACAGACAGGGGAGGUCUUCUGAGCUGCAAGAGAGAAUACAACAGGAAGAGAGCUAGUUAAACAGAGACCCCAGACAAUAUUAAAUAUCAAAGUUACUACACUUAGUUUUAGAUCAGUCUGGGUCAAAACACUACUAUACAUACUCACUGUGCUUUAAUAUAGGAAUCAUUUUAUGGAAUUAUGGAAUUAAAAUGCCCAGAUUGAAUGGUGAGAUCAAGUUGUCACCACUUUCAUAUUUCACUUUGAAACAUUCACUGACUGAUCCCUGUUUCAGCACCAAUACUUUGUGUAAAUCUGUGAAACUGUGACAAGGUUUGAAAAACCUAAAUGUCGGGGAGAAGUGGCUUAUUUACAGUGUAUAAAAGUACAGUAUUCAUUUCGUUUUUGACACUAUAAUGAACACAUGCAUGGCAGGCAUGAGAACAGCUCACCUUCAAAAGAAGUGCCAGAUACAGCCCAGCCAGCCAGACAUAGAGCCAGGAAGACUGUAAGAAAAAAAAACAAGGGCUCAUGCAUGUGGAUGUCAGUACAGUACAAACACCCACUCAUCGUCUUGUUAACGGUUUCUCACUUACAGUAAUCUAUAUAUGACUAAAACUCAAAAUGCAUUGUUGACUUACUUGGAAGUAUCGAUCCAUUCAUGUUUGGAUGUUUCUGUGGAGUAUCUGCAAAUUAAAAAAUUAAAAAUUAAAACAUUUAGUCUAAACAUUAUGUAAACCUUUGCUACCAUUCAUCAUUCUAAUGUCCUCGAGUACUGAGCAGGUGGAUCUAGGGGUGUGGCGUUACAAAUAUUUUGACAACACAACAAUGAUUCCCCCAGUCAUGAAGAUGGAUAUAUCAUAUUCUAGUAGGCUAUAGUCUAGUCCCCACUGGACUGAUCAUCCCCAGGGGUCUGUUUUAGAAGGGUUCUGAGUCUGUGUGUGUGUGUGGGACAUCAACCAACCUCAGAGAUAUCUAUUUUAGCCCCAUGGUUUCAUGAUCCCUCCGCUGUACCUCACCUACCCUAAAGCUCAGUUUUAUAAAAUGUUAAUAAUAGGCCUUCAUUUAUCCUGGUUAGUCUUAUUGAGACAAUUAAAAAACGCAACAACCAACCUCAGUUCAAUAUUGCAGAUCUAUUCUUCUCUUCCGUAUUGUAAUAUGAACCUUCAGACAAGCAUGUAUGUGACAUUUCGUCUAUGUUUUGGUGUAACACAAUAGCACACUCAAGUCGUGAAAAUAAGUGUAACCGAUGUGAAAUGGCUAGUUAGUUAGCGGUGGUGCGCGCUAAUAGCGUUUCAAUCAGUGACGUCGUUGUGUUGUAAGGGCCGCGGCUUUUGUGGCGCGAUGGGUAACGAUGCUUCGUGGGUGUCGGUUGUUGAUGUGUGCAAGGGUCCCUGGUUCGAGCCCAGGUUGGGGCGAAGAGAGGGACGGAACCUACGCUGUUACAUAUGCAUAAAUAGUAUUUCAGCAGAUUUCGUGCAUUUUUGUGUGGCUUAAUUUGUGUGAAAAUACAUUUUUUGUGCGACUUCAUUCAUAGGAAAAUACCUUUUUUUUGUGGGCAAACUUCGGAACAAUCUUUUGAAACGUAUUGGAGCAAAGCAUUUUGGGCAAUGGUGUUGUACACUGCCUUUUUUGUAUUCCACAUGUUAACAACCCAAUAUUGUUAAUCAAACAGGUUGUCAACGAAUUAAAUAUAAUAUAAUAAUAGCCUUACAGGUUUUAUUUUUAUUAAUGCCAAUGCUGUUUUCUCUGCUUGUUUUCGCUUAAUAUUUUGGGAUACUGUUGCUAUGUCCGAUUUUAUGAGGGUUUCCAGACUGGAGUGUAAACCUGUAUUUGUAUGUUAUUUUUAAGGUAUCAAUGAAGGUAUUUCAUUGGUGAAUGGGGAUACAUUUGCAUGACGGUAAAUGAAUUUAUCAAUAAAUAUGGGGAAACAGAAGACCUGCAAAAAAUAAUAUGUUUGGUUUAAAUGUCCCUGUUGCAACUGCCUGGUAUUUGCAAUUAUAACGAGUCUGGACUAUGAUCUAUUAAGCCAUAUCAAUGUAGUUAGACAUGUUAAUGUAAAAUAAUGAAUUAUGUUGGCUUACACUUAUGGCACUUCCAAGGCCGUUUCAUGAUGGUUAUUACGGUCGUGUCAAUCAGGUUAUAUACUUAGGCUGUUGUAACAAGGCAUAUGCCAGCAUUGUAGACCUACUGCCUCUGCCCAGAGGACUACUAGGCUUUCAUGGCAACGACCGUUAAGAGUUCACUUUGCCACGUAUGAGCCCUGGUUAGAGUCGCUGUUGCAUCUUUCACUUUCUUCCACUACAUUGGUGGCAGCGUUAGGAUCACGUCCAGCUCAUGUCUAGUUAUGUGAACCAGUGGUGAGAAUCAUUCUGGGUUUCAACAUUUAUUCAGAAGGAAAUCCUCUGUGACUGUCUAAUUUACAUCAGUUAACUUACCAGUGUGGAACCAAAACAAACACAUUCUACACAUUUAUAAAUGACCUGUUUUAAAGUGUUCUUACAACCAUGUUGUUCUGUUGUUACUGAAGCUUAUAUAUCUAAUAACCUGACAAUGAUCCGCAUCAUAUUGGUAGACAAAUAAUGUGUGUUACGCAGAAAAACACAGCUAUGCUUUUUUUUUAGGAUGCAAACCACUAAUAUGAUUCACUAGUCUACUUCCGCAUGGCAAGCGGUACGGAAGUGCCAAAGUCUAGGACAAAAAGGCUUCUCAACAGUUUUUAUCCCCAAGCCAUAAGACUCCUGAACAGAAAAUCAAAUGGCUACCCGGACUAUUUGCAUUGUGUGCCCCCCCACCCCCAACCCCUCUUUUUACGCUGCUGCUACUCUCUGUUUAUCAUAUAUGCAUAAUCACUUUAACUAUACAUUCAUGUACAUACUUCCUCAAUCAGCCUGACUAACCGGUGUCUGUACUUUUAUAGCCUCGCUACUUACCGGUGCCUCGAUACUUGUAUAGCCUCGCUACUGUAUAUAGCCUGUCUUUUUACUGUUGUUUUAUUUCUUUACCUACCUAUUGUUCACCUAAUACCUUUUUUUUUUGCACUAUUGGUUAGAGCCUGUAAUUAAGCAUUUCACUGUAAGGUCUACACUUGUUGUAUUCGGCGCACGUGACAAAUAAACUUUGAUUUGAUUUGAUCCAUCCCGUUCUGAUCUAAUGAGAGGGAUGUAGGAUUUUCUACGGGCUAGAAUCGAGGCCUUUCCCAGUCAUGAAGUACGAAGCUAUAGGCCCCUGUUGGUUCUCAUUGGCAAAGGCUGAACUCAAGUUAUGUCAGAUUCUCCUAUACCACUUUGCCUAACAUCUUAUACCCCAGAGGUUGUAAAUAAACCCUUUUUUAAAGGUGAUAUAACUUGUAUCAUUAUUAUAGGGCUGUGAAACCUAUAGCCGAAUGGCUUCAGACUGAGCAUUUCUCACCAUCUAUUUACACAUUGCAAUUUUCGUUUUAUAACAGGUAGUGUCCAUUUAUUUACAGUAGUGAACUAUUACUUUCUUCAGUGGAAAUACAGAAUAUAUAUAAAACUGUCAAAUAUACCAAAGCUAAAUCAAGUAGAGAACUACAAACAUUUAACCAGUUAAAGAUAAUGAAUACAUGACAACUAGAAUAUUUUAUUAUAAAUAAUGAAUACAAAAGAGUUGGCUAUAACAGUACAAACAAAGUGAGUGUGUGUAUAUGUGUGUUAGUGUUUGUGUGUGCAUGAUCAUUUCCAAUCAUACAACUGUAUCUCCAUUCCCCAAUUGAAUACCUUCAUUGUUAACACAAAAUAUAUAUAUACUGUAUGUAUAUCUUUUUGGGUCCUAUCUGACAACCCUCAUAAAGUUCGACAUAGCCUUGUAUAAAAUGCAUUAUGAAAGAAAUGGUGUAAUGUACACGUGGAGCCUUGUAUUAAAUGCAUUAUGAAGAAAAUGUUUUCAUGUAUGAUGAUGGCCUACUUUAUAAUAAGGUGGUAGGCCUAAUUUGGUGUUUUACGAAUUAAAAAAUGUAAGUGUAUUAUACAAUUAUUUUAUACAAUAGGCUUCAUGUCGGUACCAACUUUCAUUCAGAAACGAAGGCUUAAUAAUAAUAAUAAUAAAA
This 5792-nucleotide long non-coding RNA is filed under the name Salmo salar (Atlantic salmon). RNAcentral describes it as "lncRNA (ENSSSAG00000107406.1)". Lineage: Eukaryota; Metazoa; Chordata; Actinopteri; Salmoniformes; Salmonidae. The record is from RNAcentral.